This 221-nucleotide ribosomal RNA is filed under the name Lactobacillus delbrueckii subsp. bulgaricus. Its description in RNAcentral is "partial 23S ribosomal RNA". It matches the Rfam family "Bacterial large subunit ribosomal RNA", at positions 212 to 435 of the family's 2925-position model. The record is from RNAcentral. Lineage: Bacteria; Bacillati; Bacillota; Bacilli; Lactobacillales; Lactobacillaceae.
GCAGGAAGAGAAAGAAAUAUCGAUUUCCCAAGUAGCGGCGAGCGAACAGGAAAGAGCCCAAACCGGCAGAUUUAUCUUCCGGGGUUGUAGGACUGAGACAUGGCACUUCAGAGGAUAGCAGAAGCGUUUGGGAAAGCGCGCCAUAGAGGGUGAGAGCCCCGUAAGCGAAAUCCAAAGAAGGCCUAUCAGUAUCCUGAGUAGGGCGGGACACGUGAAAUCCC